UCGCCUGUUUUAACAAAAACAUGUUCUUUUGUUUUAAAUAAAAGAUUUAACCUGCUCUAUGAUUAUUAAAUGGCUGCAGUAUUUUGACUGUACAAAGGUAGCAUAAUAAUUUGUCUUUUAAUUGAAGACUGGUAUGAAUGGUUGGAUGAGAAAUAUACUUUCUUUAUUUUAUAUAAAAAAAUUGAUUUUUUAGUUAAAAAGCUAAAAUAUUUUUAUAGGACGAGAAGACCCUAUAGAACUUUACUUUGAUAUAAAUAUACUAUUUAUAUAUUUUUAAAAUUUUAUAUUUUUAUUAAAGUUUUGUUGGGGUGACAAAAAAAAUUAUAUAACUUUUUUUUAUUAAAUCAUUAAUUUAUGUUUUUUUGAUCCUUUAUUAUGGAAAAUAAGAUUAAGUUACCUUAGGGAUAACAGCGUUAUUUUUUUGGAGAGUUCAUAUUGAUAAAGAAGUUUGCGACCUCGAUGUUGGAUUAAAAUAAGUUACAGGGGUAUAAUAUUGUAUACUAGGUCUGUUCGACCUUUAAAUUUUUACAUGAUCGAGUUCCCAACCGGGAU
RNAcentral lists this ribosomal RNA (552 nucleotides) under Adelphocoris reichelii. RNAcentral's name for it is "partial small subunit ribosomal RNA". It matches the Rfam family "Bacterial large subunit ribosomal RNA", at positions 1796 to 2623 of the family's 2925-position model. Lineage: Eukaryota; Metazoa; Arthropoda; Insecta; Hemiptera; Miridae. The record is from RNAcentral.